GGGGAUGAGCCCGCGUCCCAUUAAUUUUUGGUGAGGUAACGGCUCACCAAGGCGACGAUGGGUAGCUGGUCUGAGAGGAUGAUCAGCCACACUGGAACUGAGACACGGCCCAGACUCUUACGGGAGGCAGCAGCUAAGAAUCUUCCGCAAUGGGGGAAACCCUGACGGAGCGACGCCGCGUGGACGAUGAAGGCCUAGAGGUUGUAAAGUCCUUUUGCAGACGAAGAAUAAGGCAAGGAGUGGAACGCCUUGCUGAUGACGUUAGUCUUGCGAAUAAGCCCCGGCCAAUUACGUGCCAGCAGCCGCGGUAACACGUAUGGGGCGAGCGUUGUUCGGAAUUAUUGGGCGUAAAGGGCGCGUAGGCGGCGCUAUAAGCUUGGUGUGAAAUCCCCCGGCCUAACUGGGGGCUUGCGCUGAGAACUGUAGUGCUUGAGUUCUGGAGGGGAAGCUGGAAUUCCUGGUGUAGGGGUGAAAUCUGUAGAUAUCAGGAAGAACACCGGUGGCGAAGGCGGGCUUCUGGCCAGAAACUGACGCUGAGGCGCGAAAGCGUGGGGAGCGAACAGGAUUAGAUACCCUGGUAGUCCACGCUGUAAACGAUGUGCACUGGGUGUUGGGGCUUUAAUGGGUCUCAGUGCCGUAGUUAACGCGAUAAGUGCACCGCCUGGGGAGUAUGCCCGCAAGGGUGAAACUCAAAGGAAUUGACGGG
Molecule: ribosomal RNA, 706 nt
Filed under: uncultured bacterium
Lineage: Bacteria
Description: bacterial SSU rRNA
Rfam family: Bacterial small subunit ribosomal RNA
Source: RNAcentral